Molecule: ribosomal RNA, 495 nt
Filed under: uncultured bacterium
Lineage: Bacteria
Description: partial 16S ribosomal RNA
Rfam family: Bacterial small subunit ribosomal RNA
Source: RNAcentral
GAUGAACGCUGGCGGCGUGCCUAAUACAUGCAAGUAGAACGCUGAAGGAGGAGCUUGCUCUUCUGGAUGAGUUGCGAACGGGUGAGUAACGCGUAGGUAACCUGCCUGGUAGCGGGGGAUAACUAUUGGAAACGAUAGCUAAUACCGCAUGACAACAGUUAUUGCAUGAUAACUGUUUAAAAGGGGCAACUGCUCCACUACCAGAUGGACCUGCGUUGUAUUAGCUAGUUGGUGAGGUAACGGCUCACCAAGGCGACGAUACAUAGCCGACCUGAGAGGGGGGGCGGCCACACUGGGACUGAGACACGGCCCAGACUCCUACUGGAGGCAGCCGUAGGGAAUCUUCGGCAAUAGGCGGAAGGCUGACCGAGCAACGCCGCGCGAGUGAAGAAGGUUGUCGGAUCGUAAAGCUCUGUUGUAAGAGAAGAACGAGUGUGAGAGUGGAAAGUUCACACUGUGACGGUAUCUUACCAGAAAGGGACGGCUAACUACGUG